Non-coding RNA from Daphnia pulex (common water flea), 92 nucleotides. The record is from Rfam. Lineage: Eukaryota; Metazoa; Arthropoda; Branchiopoda; Diplostraca; Daphniidae.
UGUGACAAAGGCAAACCACUCGAGAGGGUGGGACGCAAAGCCAAGGGACCUAACGAGGGACACAUGUUCCAGGGUCAGCCUAGCCGCCACAA